This 299-nucleotide signal recognition particle RNA is filed under the name Aotus nancymaae (Ma's night monkey). RNAcentral's name for it is "Metazoan signal recognition particle RNA (ENSANAG00000008206.1)". It matches the Rfam family "Metazoan signal recognition particle RNA". From Rfam's summary of the family: The signal recognition particle (SRP) is a universally conserved ribonucleoprotein. Lineage: Eukaryota; Metazoa; Chordata; Mammalia; Primates; Aotidae. The record is from RNAcentral.
GCCGGGCGCGGUGGCGCGUGCCUCUAGUCCCGGCCAGUCGGGAGGCUGAGGCUGGAGGAUUGCUCGAGUCCAGGAGUUCUGGGCUGUAGUGCGCUAUGCCGAUCGGGUGUCUGCACUAAGUUUGGCAUCAACAUGGUGACCUCCUGGGAGCGGGGGACCAUGAGGUUGCCUAAGGAGGGGUGAACUGGUCCAGGUUGGAAACUGAGCAGGUCAAAACUACCGUGCCAAUCACUAGUGGGAUCGCGCCUGUGAAUAGCCACUGCACUCCAGCCUGGGCAACAUAGCGAGACCCCAUCUCU